CAGCUGGUCCUCUCAGGGGGUGCCUGCGAGGGGGGUGAGAGAGAGAGAGAGAAUGUGUAUGUGUGGUGACAGGGCCUUCCAGCAGAGCAGGAAGCUGGGGAAGGUUGGAGAUGGGUGGGGAGGGGUCUCUGUCCUGCUAACCAAACUGUGUAGGCUGCAGGGCAAGAGUCAUGUACUCUGCGGGGUCCCCACCACCUCUGAGAAGAGCUCUGACCCAGAACCCCACACCCAGCUCCCUCAGGGGCCCCUGUCCUCCUGCAGGGUGGCGCCUGCCCCUUGGGAGUUCCUGGCACACACAGGGCUGAAGUUUGUCACUUCACAGUCCCCAGCUCUGUCUAGCUUUUGCUCUGCCCUAAGACAUAGGGAGGUCCUCAAGGGCGGGUGCGGUCCAGUGGUGAGGAAUUUCCCUGGAAACGGGAAGUUCAAGAUGUGUCAGUGUGGGAUCCCAGCUUGAGGAGUAAGUGGCUGAGCACAGGCAAGAGGCACCCCUGGCCGCCCUCUCCUGCUCUCUCUCCCCCAACAGCUCCCCUGGCUGUCUCAUGCAGCAGAGGCUUCACAUGGUGACAGGAUCAUCCUGCAGGUGACCUCAGUUCUCCCAAGGUAACAAUAAAACUAUCGUGAAUUGAAUGAAAUGAAUGUGUGUCAUGUUCCAGGCAUUGCACUGUCUUACAUGGAUUAUCUUAUUUAAUCUCUCAGCGAGCCUGUGUUAUCAGAAUUAUUACUCUACCUAUUUACAGAUGAUGACACUGAGACGAUGAUGAAGUGCUUGUCCUAGGAUCCCACUGGUAGUAGGUGGAAGAGACAGGGCUCAAAGUUAUGAUUUGGACAGAGAAUGUCCAGAGAAUCGAUGAGACAAAUUUUUAGAAAUUGGACCUUCCCAGAUAAUUUAGGGAUACAUGGUUGCUAUACUUGAUACUUUGGUAGGAAAACACACACACACACACACACACACACACACACACACACCAAAAACAAACCAGCAGUGGCUUUAGAGUCAAAAUUUUCACUACCAGUUAUGAUUUUGGCCAAGAAACUUGACCAUUCUGAGCCUCGGUCUCCAUCUCUACAAAAUAGGUACAAUAAUCCUUGCAUAGAACUGCUGUAAUGAAUUCAAAUGCAGCAUUUUUUCUAAACUUGGAAAACUCCAAGCUCCUUACUGCCUCAGGGCCUUUGCAUGUGCUGUAACCUAUGCCUGGAACCCUCAGCCCCAGAUGUUCACAUACUGGUUUGUUUUUGUCAUCUUGGUCUCAGGUCUUUCUUUAGACCAGGCUUCCCUGACUAACCCAUUACCCUUAGCAGCAUCGUUCUUGUUUUUCAAGCAUUGUUCUGAAAUUAUCUUGCUAAUUUAUUUGUUUUGUUUAUGGCCUAUCCUCCCUCUCCAACUGUCCAGGAUGUAAGUUUCUUGAGCACUAGGAUCUCUGUAGGGUUUAAGGACCCAUUCCCAAUGCUCAAAGCAGCACCUGGCCAAAUCAGAGGUUCCUAAAUAUUUAUGAAUGAGUGCAUGAUCAUGCUUUAAAAACGCAUUAUUUUCCAGUUUAUUAUUUUCUGUCACAGGCUUCACUAAGCCAAAGGGCAGUAAAUGUGGGUUAAUGAGGGCUUGAGAGAGGGCUUUGGGCCUGGCCCAUGCCCAGCCCUGAAGCUCCCAGGCUGCACAGAGCCAUGCUUGGGCUUCCGGCUGCUCCAGGAUAAAGGUCAACCCUUUUGCUGGAACAUGAGGUUCUGUACCAUCUGGGCCUGCCUGCCUCUGGCCUCAUCUCCCCGGGUUCUCCAACCUGUACUCCAUGUCCAGGCCAGACCAAACAACUCAAAGUGCCUACUGGAGAACACAGGCUGCUUCAUGUCACUGUACCUUUAUAGACACUACUCCUUCUACCUGGAACACUCUGCACCCUGGCUCUGCCUGGCUAGCUCCUCUCAGACUUGAAGAUUAGCCUCCUCAGAGGAGCCCUCCCUGACUCCUCUGGCCACAUCCAGUCCCCAACUUUCCAGGGCACUCUUAUGAUUUGUUUUUUUUUUUGUUUGUUUGUUUGUUUUAC
RNAcentral lists this long non-coding RNA (2036 nucleotides) under Canis lupus familiaris (dog). Its description in RNAcentral is "lncRNA (ENSCAFG00845006928.1)". Lineage: Eukaryota; Metazoa; Chordata; Mammalia; Carnivora; Canidae. The record is from RNAcentral.